Molecule: ribosomal RNA, 253 nt
Filed under: uncultured bacterium
Lineage: Bacteria
Description: partial 16S ribosomal RNA
Rfam family: Bacterial small subunit ribosomal RNA
Source: RNAcentral
UACGUAGGGUGCGAGCGUUAAUCGGAAUCACUGGGCGUAAAGGGCACGCAGGCGGUCUUUUAAGUGAGAUGUGAAAUCCCCGGGCUUAACCUGGGAAUAGCAUUUCAGACUGGGAGUCUAGAGUACUGUAGAGAGGGGUAGAAUUCCACGUGUAGCGGUGAAAUGCGUAGAGAUGUGGAGGAAUACCGAAGGCGAAGGCAGCCCCCUGGGAGAGUACUGACGCUCAGGUGCGAAAGCGUGGGGAGCAAACAGG